GAUGAAGAACGUAGCAAAAUGCGAUAAGUAAUGUGAAUUGCAGAAUUCAGUGAAUCAUCGAAUCUUUGAACGCACAUUGCGCCCGCCAGUAUUCUGGCGGGCAUGCCUGUUCGAGCGUCAUUUCAACCAUCAAGCCCCCGGCUUGUGUUGGGGACCUGCGGCUGCCGCAGGCCCUGAAAACCAGUGGCGGGCUCGCUAGUCACUCCGAGCGUAGUAAUACAUCUCGCUCAGGGCGUGCUGCGGGUUCCGGCCGUUAAAAAGCCUUAUUUACCCAAGGUUGACCUCGGAUCAGGUAGGAAGACCAGCUGAACUUAAGCAUAUCAAUAAGCGGAGGA
This 335-nucleotide unclassified non-coding RNA is filed under the name soil metagenome. RNAcentral describes it as "partial contains 5.8S ribosomal RNA, internal transcribed spacer 2, and large subunit ribosomal RNA". The stretch from base 1 to 120 matches the Rfam family "5.8S ribosomal RNA", at positions 35 to 154 of the family's 154-position model. The record is from RNAcentral.